GCCCUUGACUCUGGGAUAAGCCCGGGAAACUGGGUCUAAUACUGGAUGCUACAUGUCACCGCAUGGUGGUGUGUGGAAAGGGUUUACUGGUCUUGGAUGGGCUCACGGCCUAUCAGCUUGUUGGUGAGGUAAUGGCUCACCAAGGCGACGACGGGUAGCCGGCCUGAGAGGGUGACCGGCCACACUGGGACUGAGACACGGCCCAGACUCCUACGGGAGGCAGCAGUGGGGAAUAUUGCACAAUGGGCGAAAGCCUGAUGCAGCGACGCCGCGUGAGGGAUGACGGCCUUCGGGUUGUAAACCUCUUUCAGCAGGGAAGAAGCCACAAGUGACGGUACCUGCAGAAGAAGCGCCGGCUAACUACGUGCCAGCAGCCGCGGUAAUACGUAGGGCGCAAGCGUUGUCCGGAAUUAUUGGGCGUAAAGAGCUCGUAGGCGGUUUGUCGCGUCUGCUGUGAAAGCCCGGGGCUUAACCCCGGGUGUGCAGUGGGUACGGGCAGACUAGAGUGCAGUAGGGGAGACUGGAAUUCCUGGUGUAGCGGUGGAAUGCGCAGAUAUCAGGAGGAACACCGAUGGCGAAGGCAGGUCUCUGGGCUGUUACUGACGCUGAGGAGCGAAAGCAUGGGGAGCGAACAGGAUUAGAUACCCUGGUAGUCCAUGCCGUAAACGUUGGGCACUAGGUGUGGGGGACAUUCCACGUUUUCCGCGCCGUAGCUAACGCAUUAAGUGCCCCGCCUGGGGAGUACGGCCGCAAGGCUAAAACUCAAAGGAAUUGACG
Molecule: ribosomal RNA, 777 nt
Filed under: Kocuria sp. L7-85
Lineage: Bacteria; Bacillati; Actinomycetota; Actinomycetes; Micrococcales; Micrococcaceae
Description: bacterial SSU rRNA
Rfam family: Bacterial small subunit ribosomal RNA
Source: RNAcentral